This 445-nucleotide ribosomal RNA is filed under the name uncultured bacterium. Its description in RNAcentral is "partial 16S ribosomal RNA". It matches the Rfam family "Bacterial small subunit ribosomal RNA", at positions 354 to 796 of the family's 1533-position model. The record is from RNAcentral.
GUAGGGAAUAUUGGGCAAUGGAGGCAACUCUGACCCAGCCAUGCCGCGUGCAGGAAGACGGUCCUCUGGAUUGUAAACUGCUUUUGAAUGGGAAGAAACGUAGCUUUGCGAAGCUAUUUGACGGUACUAUUAGAAUAAGCACCGGCUAACUCCGUGCCAGCAGCCGCGGUAAUACGGAGGGUGCAAGCGUUAUCCGGAUUUAUUGGGUUUAAAGGGUGCGUAGGCGGCUUUAUAAGUCUGGGGUUAAAGGCGGCAGCUUAACUGUACGCAUGCCCUGGAAACUGUGAAGCUUGAGUGACUUGGAGGUAGCUAGAAUUCCCUGUGUAGCGGUGAAAUGCAUAGAUACGGGGAGGAAUACCGAUUGCGAAGGCAUGUUACUACGAGUAAACUGACGCUGAUGCACGAAAGCGUGGGGAUCAAACAGGAUUAGAAACCCUAGUAGUCC